RNAcentral lists this ribosomal RNA (498 nucleotides) under uncultured bacterium. Its description in RNAcentral is "partial 16S ribosomal RNA". It matches the Rfam family "Bacterial small subunit ribosomal RNA", at positions 29 to 523 of the family's 1533-position model. The record is from RNAcentral.
AUUGAACGCUGGCGGCAUGCCUUACACAUGCAAGUCGAACGGUAACGCGGGGCAACCUGGCAACGAGUGGCGAACGGGUGAGUAAUGCAUCGGAACGUGCCCAGUAGUGGGGGAUAGCCCGGCGAAAGCCGGAUUAAUACCGCAUACGACCUACGGGUGAAAGGGGGGGAUCGCAAGACCUCUCGCUAUUGGAGCGGCCGAUGUCAGAUUAGGUAGUUGGGGGGGUAAAGGCCCACCAAGCCUUCGAUCUGUAGCUGGUCUGAGAGGACGACCAGCCACACUGGGACUGAGACACGGCCCAGGCUCCUACGGGAGGCAGCAGUGGGGAAUUUUGGACAAUGGGCGCAAGCCUGAUCCAGCCAUGCCGCGUGCGGGAAGAAGGCCUUCGGGUUGUAAACCGCUUUUGUCAGGGAAGAAACGCUCUGGGCUAAUACCUCGGGGUAAUGACGGUACCUGAAGAAUAAGCACCGGCUAACUACGUGCCAGCAGCCGCGGUAA